UAUUACUUAGAGUGAGGCCUCCUAGUAGUUAUCUGGGAAUUUUCGGGACGUUUCUCACAUGGUUAAAAAUCGGCAGAUUUUCGGUAUGGUAAAGCCUUGGCCAUUUUUGGACCGUUUUUGGCGCAACCGUUGUGCACCCCGAACGAGCCCCACCCGACCCCUAGGCCCUGGGCUUUUUUUCUGUGUCAUACUGGGUGCAAUAUAGAUGGGUUUCCACACCUAUCCGCGGGCUAUCAUCGGCCUAAAUAGGUUGCACAAGAUCAAAGAAGCACAACUAGUCCAUGGGAAGAAAAGCAUUGGGACGAAAAUAAAAACUGAGUCCGGGCAUCUUCGAGCGGUUCUUGUGGCAAAAAAACCUUGAUAUUACUCAGAGUGAAGCCUCCUAGUAGUUAUCUGUGAAUUUUCGGGACGGUUCUCACAUGGUUAAAAAUCGGCCGAUUUUCGAGUAUAGUAAAGCCUUGGCCAUUUUUGGACCGUUUUUUGCGCAACCGUUGUGCACCCCGAACGAGCCCUAGGCCCUGGGCUUUUUUUAUGUGUCAUACUGGGUGCAAUAUAGAUGGGUUUCCACACCUAUCCGCGGGCUAUCAUCGGCCUAAAUAGGUUGCACAAGAUCGAAGAAGCACAACUAGUCCAUGGGAAGAAAAGCAUUGGGACGAAAAUAAAAACUGAGUCGGGCAUUUUCCGAGCGGUUCUUUGUGGAAAAACCUUGAUAUUACUCAGAGUGAGGCCUCCUAGUAGUUAUCUGUGAAUUUUCGGGACGGUUCUCACAUGGUUAAAAAUCGGCCGAUUUUCGGUAUGGUAAAGCCUUGGCCAUUUUUGGACCGUUUUUUGCGCAACCAUUGUGCACCCAGAACGAGCCCCACCCGACCCCUAGGCCCUGGGCUUUUUUUAUGUGUCAUACUGGGUGCAAUAUAGAUGGGUUUCCACACCUAUCCGCGGGCUAUCAUCGGCCUAAAUAGGUUGCACAAGAUCGAAGAAGCAAAACUAGUCCAUGGGAAGAAAAGCAUUGGGACGAAAAUAAAAACUGAGUCUGGGCAUCUCCGAGCGGUUCUUGUGGGAGAAAACUUGAUAUACUCAGAGUGAGGCCUCCUAGUAGUUAUCUGUGAAUUUUCGGGACGUUUCUCACAUGGUUAAAAAUCGGCCGAUUUUCGGUAUGGUAAAGCCUUGGCCAUUUUUGGACCGUUUUUUGGCGCAACCUUGUGCACCCCGAACGAGCCCCACCCGACCCCUAGGCCUGGGCUUUUUUUAUGUGUCAUACUGGUGCAAUAUAGAUGGGUUUCCACACCUAUCCGCGGGCUAUCAUCGGCCUAAAUAGGUUGCACAAGAUCGAAGAAGCACAACUAGUCCAUGGGAAGAAAAGCAUUGGGACGAAAAUAAAAACUGAGUCCGGGCAUUUUCGAGCGGUUCGUGUGGGAAAAAACCUUGAUAUUACUCAGAGUGAGGCCUCCUAGUAGUUAUAUGUGAAUUUUCGGGACGGUUCUCACAUGGUUAAAAAUCGGCCGAUUUUCGGUAUGGUAAAGCCUUGGCCAUUUUUGGACCGUUUUUUGCGCAACCGUUGUGCACCCCGAACGAGCCCCACCCGACCCCUAGGCCCUGGGCUUUUUUAUGUGUCAUAAUGGGUGCAAUAUAGAUGGGUUUCCACACCUAUCCGCGGGCUAUCAUCGGCCUAAAUAGGUUGCACAAGAUCAAAGAAACAAAACUAGUCCAUGGGAAGAAAAGCAUUGGGACGAAAAUAAAAACUGAGUCUGGGCAUCUCCGAGCGGUUCUUGUGGGAGAAAACUUUAAUAUUACUCAGAGUGAGGCCUCCUAGUAGUUAUCUGUGAAUUUUCGGGACGUUUCUCACAUGGUUAAAAAUCGGCCGAUUUUCGGUAUGGUAAAGCCUUGGCCAUUUUUGACCGUUUUUUUGCGCGAACCGUUGUGCACCCCGAACGAGCCUCACCCGACCCCUAGGCCCUGGGCUUUUUUUAUGUGUCAUACUGGGUGCAAUAUAGAUGGGUUUCCACACCUAUCCGCGGGCUAUCAUCGGCGUUAAAAAUAGGUUGCACAAGAUCAAAGAAACACAACUAGUCCAUGGGAAGAAAAGUAUUGGGACGAAAAUAAAAACUCAGUCUGGGCAUCUCCGAGCGGUUCUUGUGGGAGAAAACUUUAAUAUUGCUCAGAAUGAGGCCUCCUAGUAGUUAUGUGUGAAUUUUCGAGACGUUUCUCACAUGGUUAAAAAUCGGCCGAUUUUCGGUAUGGUAAAGCCUUGGCCAUUUUUGGACCGUUUUUUGGCGCAACCGUUGUGCACCCGAACGAGCCCCACCCGACCCCUAGGCCCUGGGCUUUUUUU
Molecule: long non-coding RNA, 2329 nt
Filed under: Cucumis sativus (cucumber)
Lineage: Eukaryota; Viridiplantae; Streptophyta; Magnoliopsida; Cucurbitales; Cucurbitaceae
Description: long non-coding RNA (CSAT_LNC001745)
Source: RNAcentral